CCCCCCUCAAGAUGAGAUUUCCCAACUUCGGUUAUAAGAUCCCUUAAAGAUGAUGAGGUUAAUAGGUUCGAGGUGGAAGCAUGGUGACAUGUGUAGCUGACGAAUACUAAUCGAUCGAAGACUUAAUCAA
RNAcentral lists this ribosomal RNA (130 nucleotides) under Staphylococcus aureus. RNAcentral describes it as "partial 23S ribosomal RNA". It matches the Rfam family "Bacterial large subunit ribosomal RNA", at positions 2793 to 2925 of the family's 2925-position model. The record is from RNAcentral. Lineage: Bacteria; Bacillati; Bacillota; Bacilli; Caryophanales; Staphylococcaceae.